AUUUAUGAAAGUCGGUGAAUGAUUGCUCUCUUUAGAUAUCAUGUGAAAGGCUCUUCUACAAAAGGAACAUGAAUGUUUUUUGUGAUACGAUUAAAAUGUGAAUUGUUGCUUAAACAAUUAGAAUUAAAAUUCCUAACACUGACUACAAUGAGAAUCAAACGUGACUUGUUGCUUAAUGCAAAAACAUUCUCAAAGAGCUCGUGAUCCUAAUACUAAAUAACCACCAUUAAUUAAAUGAAGACAAACAUAUAUAUACUAAACUUUAUGCAAAUGGUAUCGAAAUAUAGUCCCACUAGGCUUUAAAUGAAAAAAGUCCAAUAAAGAACUAACAUGAGCCCACAUAAAAACUAAAACGAAGUCGAACGCUAAACCAACUAAACCGAAGAAUUAACAGUUCUUCAUGACAGUUUAAGUGGUGGAUUCAGCUCUGUUUUCAUACCCCCACAAUUCGAAAAUAUUGAAAAUGCCGAAAUUUGGUUACUGACCCUUUUGCAUUAAAAGAUUGAGACUUCAACUUGAUAAACAGUGAGAUAGACAAAAGUGCUAAGAAUGAUUUUCAAAGUAGUUACUCUACCGGAAAUGUUGUAGCCCCACGACGGACGAUAAGCCUCACGGCGUUUCAGCUCUUUCACGUGAUCUCCUUAGCUUCGAGACCACUUCUCAGGUUCCUGAAGGGCUUGGAAGUUAUGUUGUGUCUUCUAAAAAGGCUCAAGCAAAUUGGUAUGGAAAGAUACUUGAGGCCUGGAAGCAAGCCAAGCCUCGGCCUCAGACCGAUGAGGAAGCUGCAAGGCUUGUUAUCACGACUCUAAAGGGGCAUAAGAAAGCUGAUGUUGAGGGACUUUUGUCUUUCUAUAGACUCUCUUCGCCUGGUAAGCUGGAUGAGAUCAUGACGGCGUAGACUUACAAGUUAGUCUGAAUCGAAGCAUUGUCAUGUUCCCUUCACUUCUUUCCUCAUAAUCUUCAGCUAUAAAAAGGUAAGCCCUAUCAUGUUUCUUGACGAGAUAGUGUUAUGUGAUUUACAUUUGUAGAACUCUCCACUUGCUUCUUUAAUAGCUAUUGAUUUGGUUUUAAAUUCAGAUCAAAAUUGUUGACUUCCCAACCAACGGAACUUGCGUUCCUUCUUCCUCAUGUCGACAUCUACAGAGAAAUCAGUUUCGUUCCACCUUCAGACUCUAAGACUUCUCGGUGAGUCUGUUUGAAUUUGCUACUUUUGUAUCUUUUAUGUUAAUCAAUUCCAUAGAUCUCAAUAUUACUGUUUAGGCAACUAUGAUUUUUUUUUGCUGCAGAGAAGUGCAUGCGAACUUGAAGAUACUUGAGUAGUGCAUAUCUCUGUAACUCUGUUUCAAGCCAGAUAGUUCAGCUGUAUAUAUUUGAAUCUUUCUGCAACUGGGUAACCAAAAUUGUUUUGUUCCUUUUUUAUGAUUUAGUCACUAAAUGUCCAAUAUCUUUGUUUCAUAUACAUUACCCAUUCACGUUACUUAAUCCCCUAAUCUAUGGUUGAUUCAUUGAGGUUUUUUUUUGGUCAAAGAUUCAUUGAGGUUUAGGAUAUGAGUUCACACACAAAAGUCUAAAUGAGAUUGUGGAGAGAAAGUUUGGAAACACCGAGAAGCCAGAAAACAAAAACAAGAGAAAACACUAAUAAAUGAAGUAAGCUUCUUAUAGUACACCAAGUGUUGCUUUUUGUUUCAUAGCUUCUAACAAAAUACAGAAAAUGUUCCCAACAGAAUGCAGACAAAGGGUAAUACAAAAAUACUAAGGUGUCUAAUGGAGAAUGCAGACAAUGGUAACAAAACAUACUUGGGUGUCUAAUAAUUUCAUGUGGAAAUCCCCUCAGUUUCCAGCUUCAAACCUACUCACGGAUCCUCCGGUUACGGGUGCGGAAAAAGAGUUGAUACUGAAAGAUUGAAUAUUCUUGGAGAGCUAUGCCUACACCCUAAUUUGCAGAUGGGUGAUAACGAAAUCGAAGUCAUAUAAUUCAUGUUUUCUUGAUCAUGUUAGCUUUUGAAAUCAUAUUCUCUACAAUCUUGAAAUGUUCCAAAUUAUCUUAAUUGCAUAUGUUGAAUAUGUAAAGCUAUUUAACUGUAUUGGAAAUGGUGAAUACGUAAAAAAAAAAAAAGAAUCACAUGAAAGACCUUUUAACUCUAUAAAAAAACAACCACGUGAAAGAACUUCACUUCUAACUCUAUAGAGCAUCAAUAUUGUAUUGAUGCCUUUAAGCAUCAAUAUUCUCCAACAAAUUACACAUCAAUUUAUAUAAAAUAUAAAAUAAAUAGUAAAAUGUUAUUAUGUUAAAAACUGUGUCAUUAAAUAAAUACUUUAGUGGUUUUUUUACCGAUCAAAAUAUGAUUCAUUUUAUUUAACAAUUAUUAUUUUGUGAUGUAAUUUUAUUAAAACAGAAAGAGACAAAUCAUCUAUCAAUCUAUCAUGCAAUCUACUUAAUUGCAGCAAUUUUGAAGUGUAAGCUUCUAAAAUUUUAUAUAAUUUUAACAAAUUUAUGAAAUUCUCAUACCUUUCAAUGUUUUAUUAGUUAAAACAAAUAUAUUACCACAACACCAAAUAUUCAUAAAUAAUUUAAUAAUUAAUGUUAUAUUUAAAAACAAACCAACUAUAAUUUUAAACAUUAUAAAAAUAAUAAACAUAACUUUAAAUAACAAAUAAUAAAAUAUGAAUUUAAUUAUACUAAUUUACUGAUAUUAUAAAUAUUUUCAAGAAUUUACUUUUAUUUUUUUUAAAGAUAAAAACUAUAUAAUCAAUAUAAUCAUUCACAAUAUGUCAAGUCAUUAAAAUAUUCAUUUUAACAUAUAUAUAAGUUGGUUUAAAAUGAAUAUAUAAUUUUAUUUAUAGUUUUAUAACUUACAUAUAUGUGAAUGAAUUGAAAAGAACAUGAAAAAAUUAUUUCUAAUUUUUAUAUCAUAAAAAAGCUCUGCAUAAUUAGCUAGCAACAAUUAGCAGUCACAUUACAUGGAAUAGAAGAUUAUUUUUUAUUUCUCACUAGCAGUAAUUAGCAGGCAUAUUAGACCAUCUGCAAGCGUGGAUUCGAUAAAGA
Long non-coding RNA from Brassica napus (rape), 3046 nucleotides. RefSeq lists it as uncharacterized. The record is from RefSeq and is a predicted model, not a curated record. NCBI's taxonomy places the organism in Eukaryota, Viridiplantae, Streptophyta, Magnoliopsida, Brassicales, Brassicaceae. The transcript is spliced from 4 exons.